AUUUUUGAGAGCCCACAGCAAUUCUCUAUCCUACGUGGCGCUCUCAAAAGUCUCUAUUUUGAUUUAUCUAAUCCUGUAUUAUUUAUUUUACAUCUCAAUUCUCAAGGUCUGCUAGAAAAUCAAUUCUGAUAUUCAAUCAUCCGUUACAAAUUAGAGGCGCAAUAGAUCUGCAAAUUCUUCUCAAAUUUCUCUCCAUCCCUCUGCAAAUUUCAUGCUCAAUCACCGUUACAAAACUUAGAUUAGCAAUUGAUCUGCAAAUAUUCUCAAAUCCCUCUCCAUCCGUCUGCAAUCACCGUACUCAAAUCUCAUCUUCCGAUCAUUCUUGAAUCUCUCCAUCCAUCUGCAAAUCGUUCUGAAAUCCCAUCUCCCGCCGUCUACAAAUCCUUAUCACAACAAUUGAUAUGCUAAUCUCUAUAUACCGGGUCUCCCACCACUGAUACAUCAAAAUUGGCAGGAUUUGGUGCUCCAUCUCCCCGCCUGAUUCCGAACUAUUUUUUAAGAUAUCGGCGGCGGAAAGACUAGAAAUCGCCCACCCCUUGCUCUAUCUCACUCGGUUGUCGGGCUAGAAAUCGCCAUCACCGCCGAUGCCCAACUUCUCCGAUCUCCUCCCAUUUUCACACUGGAGUGGCGCCGAGAAGAAGAAACUCUUCGCGUCCAUCAUCAGCUCCUAUCUCCGUUGGAAAUUGUGAAGUGAUAGUGCAAGCGAAGAAUUUCACUUCCGAAUCAAAUGGUGAUAGUUUUCAAAUCUCUAUUUCCAAAACUGCCAAAAUCAGUAUUUCAGUGAUCGGAAAAGCGAAUGAACACGACAAUGGUGGGGGCGGAGGACAUGAGAAAUCUGUUUCCGGUUAGUUUGAGUAUCGUACUUUCUUCUUGCCUAAUUCAGUUUGGUUUGCAAAAGAGCAGUAAAGAGUCAUUGUUCUAUCGUUGAGAACUAUGCCAUUUGCAUUCAUGUCCUCGUGCAACUUUUCAGCUGUUUUCCAAUCUAGAGCCUUGAAGCAAAGAGAUUUUAUCAGUCAUGAGCUGGGAUUGGACAUCGAAUCACUAUAUAUGGUAGAUUUGUGAAUCUUUGGAGUUACAUUUAACGAGGGAUUCUCUGCUGCUAUCAUCAUAAUCAUACUUCUUGGUCAACUUGGGAGGCUUGGAGUUGGUGCUGGCGGAUAUGAGGAUCCUGGUGUUAAGAAAUUAAGAGGCUGGUUCUCAAAAGUUUGUUCAUGUCCAGUUUGCGCUUAUAACUUCUUUGCUUGGUCUUACUUCUAUCAAAUUUCAAGAGGUCGCGGAAGGUAAAAUCGAAAUUCCAGCAGUCAUUAGUCAGUCCAUCCUGUGCUGCCUCAUUUCGCCUAACAUAUUGACAGCCUUGUCAAUUUCACCAAACGCCCCUAGCUGCUCGAUUAAUUUGUUAUAGCUUCAGCAGUUAUACAAUCAAAAGAACCACUUUCUUAAUAUGCAAUCAGUUUCAGUUCAUCUCAUUUUUUAUUUUUAUUUUUUGUGUUAAAUCUUGAGUUUUGUUUAUGAGUGCCUAGACUCAUAUGUUUGAUAGUCAUGUUUUAGUCCAACACACCAUAUAACAGGGUUGGUUUUAUGUUAAUAAAUUUUUAUUAUUUAUUUUAUCUCGAUAAAAA
Salvia miltiorrhiza (redroot sage) is the source of this 1619-nucleotide long non-coding RNA. RefSeq lists it as uncharacterized. NCBI's taxonomy places the organism in Eukaryota, Viridiplantae, Streptophyta, Magnoliopsida, Lamiales, Lamiaceae. The transcript has 8 exons. The record is from RefSeq and is a predicted model, not a curated record.